GUUGCCCGAACCUCUUCAUCCCCUCCACGCCCUCGACGCCGCCUCCUCCCAACCAUUGGCAUCUCCUAGCAGAGAUCCGCGUGAUGGGGUAGCCGGGGAGCGCGCGCUGUCCAGAGAGACAAGGCACCUCCCAAGCAGAGGAUCCAGCAGCGCUGGCUUCUCCUCUCCUGCGCCGCCGCUGUCCACCCCUCCUCAUCCCGUGCAAGCAUGAGCUUCUCCGGCGUCGGCGGUGGCCUGCAGUCAAAGGACGACUGCGGCGGCGCUCGAUUCGAUCUGCAGGAGAGAGAGAAGAUAUGAGGGAGAGAGAGAAGGAAGGAGAGGAAGGAUAAAGACAAAGGAAAGAGGAGAGGGAGGUGCGGCUGCGGACAUGAGAGGGCCACUGGAACGAGCACCGCUGGCUCGUCAUCCUACACAUCGCGCUGGAGAAAGAGGAGAGGGAGGUGCGGCGGCGGAUGGGAGAGGGUCACCGCAAGGAGCUCCGCUUGCUCGGGGUCGUUCACAUCGUGCUGGGGCAGAGAUACUUCUGUACAACCCUCAUGCCCUCAGAGCACACAAGUGGUUUCCCCUGAGGUCUCCUCCUUGCUCGGCUGUUCAUUAAGAUCAGCAGGGGGGAGGUUUAGGGUGACACCUUCAAGAUGGAUUUGUUGUUGUUAUUAUUUCAGUUUGCGGAUAGAGGAUGUGGUUCCAGCAAGACAAAAAUGACGGUGAUGACAAGUGAGAUUUAUGUCAAGGAGUAUUAGCAGAUGCUCACAGGAUCACUGGAAGCAUAUAAAGUGAUGAUCUGCAGGGCCGAAUUAUGCCACUGUUGAUGGUGCACAGGUCUGUUGCAUGGUAAACCCAGUAUUGGCCGUCCUUUCAAGCUCCUUUGUUCAUCCUAGAGAAAAAACUGGAAAAUACAUAUGAACUAUCUUUUAAUCUUUCUAUAGUGCAUUGCUAUGAUUACAUAUAUGGAUACAUCAUUUCGAUGUGUCAGGAGACCUAAAGCCUUUUAAGAGUUAACCACCAAACUGGGGACUGAUGUCAUAAUUGCAGAUGGGCUUUGUUCAGUUAUUUUUUUGGGGCCUAGAACGAUGAUGUUUGCAGAUGGGCUUUAUUCUGUCAUAAGAGCUUAUUGAACCAGCCUGCAUAGUUUUGUUUCUUCAGUGUACUGUGUCUGAGAAAAACAUAUGCUGUUUCCUGUUUGUUCAUGGUCGAGAUGGACGGAUUUUUGUUGUGUGGGCUGGAGGUGGAUUUCUGUUGUGUGGGCUGGAGGUUCUUGAGGUAGGGCACCAGCACCAGCUAAGCUUUCAUUCUGGUGAAAUGUAUGACAUGAUUGAUGAGCAUGCAUAUCUAUAUGGUUUUGUGGACACUGAUUUGGUUCCAUGCCAGUUUAUUUCCUGCAGUUGGUCUGUUUCUUUAUAGAGAUUUUUAUUACUAAAUUAAAUUAGAAACUGAAUGUGUACUGCUUUCACCUUCAGUUUAAACAUGACAUUGUCUUAUUUGUGAAUAGAUGAAAAUUAGCAAACAAGCUACAGUUAGUGCAUGGAUGACCAAGUUUACUUAUUACUUUAUGAAGAUGAUUCCUAAAUGGAAUUUUUGUUUGAACGGUCACCGGGGGGGAGAGCUUCCCCACCUGAAUAUAUUACCACUCAAAAGGGGGAGGUUUGAGGAUUACACGGAGGGUUACAACCAGUUUUUGUUACAAAAUCAGCUUUUAGUGGACAGCUGAGGAAAGGAAAUUGAGCCAUUGCUUAGCAAAUAAAUUGUCUUCCUUGUGUUUGAAUCUAAAAACCCAUAGAGAGAAAUCAGCAACAAUGUUACGAAUCGUGGUCCGGGUAGAGUGAUCCUCAUUUCUGAAGACUAGGGCGUUUCUUGAGUCCCAAAGUUUCCAGGAGAUAGACAGAGCGACAGAGGGCCAUAUGUUGGGGUUGAGGCCUUGGAGUGUUGGGUGUUGAAGUAGAUCAUCGAGAGAUGUUGGAGCCUGUAGUCCUAGAGAGGACCAAACUUGGGUAGCAUAAGAGCAGCUUGAAAUUAGGUGCAGGGCGUCUUCAUGAGGGUCUUGACAGCGGGGGCAUGCGGCAGACUGUGCCAUAUUCUUGUGGAACAUGUUUGCCUUUGUGUUUAGUCUGUCGCGGAGGAGUAGCCAAGCGAAGAUCUUGACUUUGAUUGGGACUUUGGAGGCCCAAGCGAGAUCACGGUGUGGGUCAGUUACGUCUUCAGCCACUAUGGAAGAGUAGGCAUUCUUGGCAGAGAAUGGCAGGCCAUGGGUGAGAGACCGCUCGUCCGGUUGGUUCACCUGCUGGAAGUCCUGCAGCAACAACAGCAUACAAUCCAGCUCUCGGGCUGCAGCAUUAGACAGACGGUUCCGCAGGUUCGCUAAUAAGCUGGUUUGCCAAACAGUAGCCACUAACACCUUGUCAUCAAUGGAGUGUGAGUAUAGGUUUGGGAAAACUUUUUGUAGUGGUGAGUGUAGUAGCCAUUUAUCAAGCCAGAAGAAGGUGGAGAGACCAUUGUAUGUGAUGACAAAGGAAUGUUCAAUUAGCAGUGGCAAGUUGCUGUUGAUAAUCUUCCAUAAAAAGGAGGGUCGUGUGGUUUUUGAAGUAAUGCCAAGAGGGUCUUGUUGGUUAUACCACAAGGUCCACGGGACGUUUGGGUGUUGUAGGGUUUUUGAAGAGAAUUUCAUGAGCAGGCAGUGGUUCUGAAUUUCAAGAUUUUUAAUGCCUAGACCACCAUAGUCUUUAGGUUUGCAAACGUUUUUCCACGCAACUAAGCAGCUCGCCCCAGUGCAGGUGGACUCGUUAGACCAGAAGAACGCCCUUCGAAUGGCAUCUAGUUUAGCUAGGAUCGAUUUUGGUAGACGGAAAACUGACAUAAAGUAGAUUGUUAAGGAGUCUAGGACCGCAGUCAGCAGUGUGAGCCUGGCGCCCCGUGAGAGAAGACGCGCUACCCAUCCAAAGAGGAAUUUCCGAAAGUUUUCUAUGAUUGGGUCAAAAGCUGUCAUGGGCAAUUUGGUAGGAGAUAGUGGAAGUCCUAAGUAUAUUAGUGGAAAGGAGGACAGAGAGCAUCCAAUGGCAGUAGCAAUGUUGUUUUGUGUGGUUGAUUCAGUAGCGAUUGUGAGGAGAGCUGUCUUAUGGAAGUUGAUCAGCAGCCCCGUAGCAAGGGCGAAGUCAUGGAGUGUUUCUUUUAGCCGCAAAGUGGCUGCUUCGCUGGCAGCAGCGAUAAUGAGAGUGUCGUCGGCGUACUGGAGUGUCACUGGCGGCUCGUUUGUUCUUAGUGGAUGGCAGAGGACAUUGGGUUGGAAAGCUCUAGCGAUUAGUCUUUGAAGCACAUCUGCUACGAUGAUGAACAGGUAAGGAGAGAAGGGGUCACCCUGGCGAAGGCCACAUCUACAUUGAAUCCAGGACCCUGAAACACCGUUGAGAAGAAUGGCCGUUUUGCCAGUGCAGAAGAUGUUUUGGACCCAACUGCAGAAUGUGUUAGGAAAACCUCGAACCUUCAGAAUUUGAAUGAGGGAGGACCAGCAUAUCGAAUCAAAUGCUUUCCUAAAGUCUAGCUUAAAAACCAUAGUCGGAGCUUUGUGUGAGUGGCACGUACUGAGAAUAUCUGCAGCAUAGAUGAAAUUUUCGGCAAUGUUGCGGCCAUGAAGGAAGCCCGUCUGGUCGUAAUGAAUGAGUAGAGGAAUGAGCGGUUUGACUCGAUUUGUGAGUAACUUGGCCACUGCUUUUGGGGUGCAGUUUUGGAGAGAGAUCGGUCUAAACGCAUCCGGAGAUGUUGGGGCUUGCGUUUUUGGUAGGAGUACCAUGAAGGCACGGUUGAAGCGCUCUAGAGAGACCGAUUGAUUUUGGAAGGCCGUGAAGAAAUCUAUGAUAGAAGGCCUGACAAUAUUCCAAUAUUUUCUGAAGAAGAUGGGUCCGAAGCCGUCAGGUCCAGGGCUGGCGUUGGUGUUCAUAGAUAAGAAGGCUUGGUGAAUUUCUUCGUGGGAGAAAGGUUGUGCUAGGUCACGUAGCUGUGGGAGGGGAGAGGAGUAUAGCUGCAGUAGGUUGAAAUUCCAUGUAGCUUGUUUUGUGGUUCCGAUCAAAUGGUUGAAAAAAUCCUUUAAGAUAAGCGCUGGAGGAGGUCGAUGCAGGGUCAAGGAGGGGCACGAGCGAGGGUCAUGCCGCACGAGGGCGCGAUGGGGUGGCCAGGGAGCACGCGGCGUCUAGCAAGAGAAGGCUUCUCCUCUUCCUGUGCCAUUGUGCACCCCUCACCGCCACCCUGCUCAUCCUCCGGUGAGCCCUCCCCAUCUCCUUUUCCUCCGCCAGCCCUUUUCUCUUCCUAACUGCUGCUCCUCCUCUGAUCUUUCCAUUUUUAGUUUCUCUUUAUGCUCCAUUUUUAGUUUCUCUUUAUGGUUUGAUUUGUUGUCUAAGAUCAGUGAAACUUGAAAGGAUGGUCGAUUGUGUAGGAUCAAUGAAACUUGAAAGAUCAGUGGAAGAAACGGAAGCAUGAUGUUCUAAGUCUGUACAUAUGUAUAACACUCGCAUUUUCAGAUGAUUGUGAAGCUUAUGGAAGAAGCAUAUCUGAAUGCUUGCUUCGAGUAUUUCUUGCUCUAAACAUGGUAACCUCUGUUAUUACAUACAAGAAGGUGCUCUUGAUUACUUCUUGGCAAAUGGUCAAUUGAUUAUUUUCUUAUGACAUAUUGUUGUUUACAUGGAACUAAAAAGAACAUUGGGUUUAUGAGAAAAUAAGAUUAGGGAAGUCACACAUGUUUAGAUCAAGGUAGCAUACAUGUAGCUUUACUUGCUAUUUUUGCAUCAUGGAUGCUGAAGUUCCUAGAGGUAAAGCAGAAAUCUUAUGUAUAGUAGUGCAAAUGUGUUGUCUGAUAGUCUUUAAAAAUUUCUUAAAGACGAAUGGUUGGACUGAUUUUUUCAAAACGUAAUAAGCACUUGUUUUCUACAGUUGGUAGCAUAUAUAUAGCUUAAGGAGAUUUCAUGCAAUAUACAUCUAAGUUGAAACUUGGGGAUCAUCUUAUAGUCGUUCACUUCUCUCUUUUUUAUUUUGUCUCAUUCCUUCAUUUAAGCAUAAGUUCAGUUUCAUUUGCUCAAGUUAGCUGCCAGUUGAACUUAUAGUUUCUUGCCUUAUAGUGUUUAUUGCAUAAUCCUUUUUUCCUUCUCUUUUCAAAGCAAGGACCAGGCUACGAACAUAUGUUUAUAAUGCAGUUCUUUCACUGUGUACUGCAUAGUAUCUUAGCUAGGUCUCUCUGGGCAAGUGUAGUUUGCCUGCAGGUAUGACAUGUGUUUGAAUAUAAUCCUUUUCUUGCUUUCUCUUUUCAAAGCAAGGACCAGGCUGGCAGGCUGGCAACAUAUGUUUAUAAUGAAAUUCUUUCAUUGUAGACUGCAUAGUAUCUUAGCUAGGUCUCUCCAGCAUGCUACCAAAAAAGGAAUGCUAUUGCUUAUGUUCUCUGAUCAACUGUACCUUGAAUCCUCGAUUUUGUAAUUCUCUAAAGAAUCAUCCAGCACAAACUCUGUUCUUUGAAGAAUUGUACCUGAUA
Long non-coding RNA from Triticum aestivum (bread wheat), 5506 nucleotides. RefSeq lists it as uncharacterized. The transcript has 4 exons. The record is from RefSeq and is a predicted model, not a curated record. NCBI's taxonomy places the organism in Eukaryota, Viridiplantae, Streptophyta, Magnoliopsida, Poales, Poaceae.